This 500-nucleotide ribosomal RNA is filed under the name uncultured bacterium. RNAcentral describes it as "partial 16S ribosomal RNA". It matches the Rfam family "Bacterial small subunit ribosomal RNA", at positions 30 to 523 of the family's 1533-position model. The record is from RNAcentral.
AUUGAACGCUGGCGGAAUGCUUUACACAUGCAAGUCGAACAGCAGCACGGACUUCGGUCUGGUGGCGAGUGGCGAACGGGUGAGUAAUGUAUCGGAACGUGCCCAGUCGUGGGGGAUAACGUAGUGAAAAUUACGCUAAUACCGCAUACGAUCGAUGGAUGAAAGCGGGGGAUCGCAAGACCUCGCGUGAUUGGAGCGGCCGAUAUCAGAUUAGGUAGUUGGUGGGGUAAAGGCCCACCAAGCCAACGAUCUGUAGCUGGUCUGAGAGGACGACCAGCCACACUGGAACUGAGACACGGUCCAGACUCCUACGGGAGGCAGCAGUGGGGAAUUUUGGACAAUGGGCGAAAGCCUGAUCCAGCCAUUCCGCGUGCAGGAUGAAGGCCCUCGGGUUGUAAACUGCUUUUGUACAGAACGAAAAGGUUUCUACUAAUACUAGGAGCUCAUGACGGUACUGUAAGAAUAAGCACCGGCUAACUACGUGCCAGCAGCCGCCGUAA